AUAGUUUAUACUCUUUCUGAUGCAUUUUCAUUAUUUCUAAAUAUAUGUUGUCCACUUUAUCAUGAGAAUUGAGAAAUAAAGAAAAUGCAUCAGAAAGAGUAUAAACUCUGUCUAUUUGAUGGAUUUCUUGUCAGUGAGAUAUUUCCCAAUAGUUUCUGCCAUAAGCUCAAAGUGCUUGAUGGAGACGAAAGAAGCGAGCUCAGGUUUGGUGUCAUCUAUCUCAUACUCUACCGUGGAUCUGAUAAUGCUUGAUUUAGCAUCCUUCUCAAUGAUCUCCAAGCGACAACGAAAAAUAUCAAAGCCAAGAUCUUUGUAACCUCCUUCUAUGAGUUCUGUUUCCUUCACACGAUUAUCAUCAUCAAUCUUUGUAAAUAUUUCCUUCAGGUAACCAAUUCCAGGAGUUCCAGGAGGAAAUGUAAGUUUGAUGAUAGUACCAACGCCUCCAUCGCCUUGUACAACCUCUACUUUGCCAAUAACGUCACCAAGAAGUUGAUCAACGAGCCUUCCCAGCUCAAGGCCACGAUAAGCAUCCCAUACGAUGGUGGCCGGAACUCCCACCGGAGUCUCCACUGAUUGUUGACCUCGCAUCCUAGUUUUUAU
RNAcentral lists this unclassified non-coding RNA (600 nucleotides) under Hevea brasiliensis (rubber tree). The record is from RNAcentral. Lineage: Eukaryota; Viridiplantae; Streptophyta; Magnoliopsida; Malpighiales; Euphorbiaceae.